This 438-nucleotide ribosomal RNA is filed under the name uncultured bacterium. RNAcentral's name for it is "partial 16S ribosomal RNA". It matches the Rfam family "Bacterial small subunit ribosomal RNA", at positions 339 to 795 of the family's 1533-position model. The record is from RNAcentral.
CUACGGGAGGCUGCAGUGAGGAAUAUUGCACAAUGGGGGGAACCCUGAUGCAGCAACGCCGCAUGGAGGAUGACGCAUUUCGGUGUGUAAACUCCUUUUAUAUGUCAAGAAAAUGACGGUAGCAUAUGAAUAAGCACCGGCUAACUCCGUGCCAGCAGCCGCGGUAAUACGGAGGGUGCAAGCGUUACUCGGAAUCACUGGGCGUAAAGGACGCGUAGGCGGGUUGGAAAGUCAGGUGUGAAAUCCUACAGCUUAACUGUAGAACUGCACUUGAACUUCUAAUCUAGAGUAUGGGAGGGGGAGAUGGAAUUAGUGGUGUAGGGGUAAAAUCCGUAGACAUCACUAGGAAUACCUAAAGCGAAGGCGAUCUCCUGGAACAUUACUGACGCUAAGGCGUGAAAGCGUGGGGAGCAAACAGGAUUAGAUACCCCAGUAGUC